CUCCAAAGUUGCACCAGUUUGCGUAUGUGACAGAUGGAGCUUGUUCAGGAGAUGAAAUUCUCACCAUGGAAUUAAUGAUUAUGAAGGUGGGUUCCAGUGAAUUUUCCAGCCAUUUUUUAAAUGCGUACGGCAGAUCUUUUCCACCUGAAGUGUGAGGUGCUUCUGGGAGGUGUUCUCCAGCUGGACACAUUGUGGCAUGGAAUAUGGCUGCAUUUUGAACUUCUUUUCUCAAUCAUCGGUCUCUUUUCUCUCUGUUUUCCUUUAGGCCCUUAAGUGGCGUUUAAGUCCCCUGACUAUUGUGUCCUGGCUGAAUGUAUACAUGCAGGUUGCAUAUCUAAAUGACUUACAUGAAGUGCUACUGCCGCAGUAUCCCCAGCAAAUCUUUAUACAGAUUGCAGAGCUGUUGGAUCUCUGUGUCCUGGAUGUUGACUGCCUUGAAUUUCCUUAUGGUAUACUUGCUGCUUCGGCCUUGUAUCAUUUCUCGUCAUCUGAAUUGAUGCAAAAGGUUUCAGGGUAUCAGUGGUGCGACAUAGAGAACUGUGUCAAGUGGAUGGUUCCAUUUGCCAUGGUUAUAAGGGAGAUGGGGAGCUCAAAACUGAAGCACUUCAGGGGCGUCGCUGAUGAAGAUGCACACAACAUACAGACCCACAGAGACAGCUUGGAUUUGCUGGACAAAGCCCGAGCAAAGAAAGUCAUGUUGUCUGAACAAAAUAGGGCUUCUCCUCUCCCCAGUGGGCUCCUCACCCCGCCACAGAGCGGUAAGAAGCAGAGCAGCGGGCCGGAAAUGGCGUGACCACCCCAUCUUUCUCCACCAAAGACAGUUGCGCGCCUGCUCCACGUUCUCUUCUGUCUGUUGCAGCGGAGGCGUGCGUUUGCUUUUACAGAUAUCUGAAUGGAAGAGUGUUUCUUCCACAACAGAAGUAUUUCUGUGGAUGGCAUCAAACAGGGCAAAGUGUUUUUUAUUGAAUGCUUAUAGGUUUUUUUAAAUAAGUGGGUCAAGUACACCAGCCACCUCCAGACACCAGUGUGUGCUCCCGAUGCUGCUAUGGAAGGUGCUACUUGACCUGAGGGACUCACACAACAACAAAAGCUUGAAGCUGUGGAGGGCCACGGUGGCGUGGCUCUCCCCACAGGUGUUCCGGGCUGCGUUGUACCAAGUGGAGCAGGUGGUUGCGGGCAAGCAAUGCGCAGAGCCCACAGCCAGCUGGGCAGGGGGCUGCCCUCUCCACAUUAUCAGUUGACAGUGUACAAUGCCUUUGAUGAACUGUUUUGUAAGUGCUGCUAUAUCUAUCCGU
This 1295-nucleotide small RNA is filed under the name Pongo abelii (Sumatran orangutan). RNAcentral describes it as "retained intron". The record is from RNAcentral. Lineage: Eukaryota; Metazoa; Chordata; Mammalia; Primates; Hominidae.